Molecule: transfer RNA, 62 nt
Filed under: Neochauliodes bowringi
Lineage: Eukaryota; Metazoa; Arthropoda; Insecta; Megaloptera; Corydalidae
Description: tRNA-Cys
Source: RNAcentral
GGUCUUAUAGUCAAUAAUGAUUUUAAAUUGCAAAUUUGAAGGUAAAGAAAAUUUUAAGGCUU